Oncorhynchus kisutch (coho salmon) is the source of this 1683-nucleotide long non-coding RNA. The record is from Ensembl. Lineage: Eukaryota; Metazoa; Chordata; Actinopteri; Salmoniformes; Salmonidae.
CACCAACCCAGACAGGAUGAUCACAUCAGUGACUCAACCCACUCAGGUGACGCACCCCUCCCAGGGACGGUAUGAGAGAGCCCAGUAAGCCAGUGACUCAGCCCCUGUAAUAGGGUUAGAGGCAGAGAAUCCCAGUGGAAAGAGGGGAACUGGCCAGGCAGAGACAGCAAGGGCGGUUCGUUGCUCCAGAGCCUUUCCGUUCACCUUCCCACUCCUGGGCCAGACUACACUCAAUCAUAUGACCCACUGAAGAGAUGAGUCUUCAGUAAAGACUUAAAGGUUGAGACCGAGUUUGCGUCUCUGACAUGGGUAGGCAGACCGUUCCAUAAAAAUGGACCGUUCCAUAAAACGGACCGUUCCAUAAAAAUGGAGCUCUACUACUAACUACUAAUUUUGAAAAUUACUCUCUCCAGAAAUAAGUCUCUCACGGUUGCCGCCUGCUACCGACCCCCCUCAGCUCCCAGCUGUGCCCUGGACACCAUUUGUGAAUUGAUCGCCCCCCAUCUAGCUUCAGAGUUUGUUCUGUUAGGUGACCUAAACUGGGAUAUGCUUAACACCUCGCCAGUCCUACAAUCUAAGCUAGAUGCCCUCAAUCUCACACAAAUCAUCAAGGAACCCACCAGGUACAACCCUAACUCUGUAAACAAGGGCACCCUCAUAGACGUCAUCCUGACCAACUGGCCCUCCAAAUACACCUCCGCUGUCUUCAACCAGGAUCUCAGCGAUCACUGCCUCAUUGCCUGUAUCCGCUACGGAGCCGCAGUCAAACGACCACCCCUCAUCACUGUCAAACGCUCCCUAAAACACUUCUGUGAGCAGGCCUUUCUAAUCGACCUGGCCCGGGUAUCCUGGAAGGACAUUGACCUCAUCCCGUCAGUUGAGGAUGCCUGGUCAUUCUUCAAAAGUAACUUCCUCACCAUUUUAGAUAAGCAUGCUCCGUUCAAAAAAUGCAGAACUAAGAACAGAUACAGCCCUUGGUUCACCCCAGACCUGACUGCCCUCGACCAGCACAAAAACAUCCUGUGGCGGACUGCAAUAGCAUCGAAUAGUCCCCGUGAUAUGCAACUGUUCAGGGAAGUCCGGAACCAAUACACGCAGUCAGUCAGGAAAGCUAAGGCCAGCUUCUUCAGGCAGAAGUUUGCAUCCUGUAGCUCCAACUCCAAAAAGUUCUGGAACACCGUGAAGUCCAUGGAGAACAAGAGCACCUCCUCCCAGCUGCCCACUGCACUGAGGCUAGGUAACACGGUCACCACUGAUAAAUCCAUGAUUAUCGAAAACUUCAAUAAGCAUUUCUCAACGGCUGGCCAUGCCUUCCGCCUGGCUACUUCAACCUCGGCCAACAGCUCCGCCCCCCCCGCAGCUCCUCGCCCAAGCCUCUCCAGGUUCUCCUUUAACCAAAUCCAGAUAGCAGAUGUUCUGAAAGAGCUGCAAAACCUGGACCCGUACAAAUCAGCUGGGCUUGACAAUCUGGACCCUCUAUUUCUGAAACUAUCUGCCACCAUUGUCGCAACCCCUAUUACCAGCCUGUUCAACCUCUCUUUCAUAUCGUCUGAGAUCCCCAAGGAUUGGAAAGCUGCCGCAGUCAUCCCCCUCUUCAAAGGGGGAGACACCCUGGACCCAAACUGUCACAGACCUAUAUCCAUCCUGCCCUGCCUAUCUAAGGUCUUCGAAAGCCAAGUCAAC